RNAcentral lists this unclassified non-coding RNA (6535 nucleotides) under Diabrotica virgifera virgifera (western corn rootworm). Its description in RNAcentral is "uncharacterized LOC114326479". The record is from RNAcentral. Lineage: Eukaryota; Metazoa; Arthropoda; Insecta; Coleoptera; Chrysomelidae.
UCGUUAAUUUUUAAAAUUUGUUUAUCUUACAAAUUCGGUUAUUUUAUUUAAAAAUAUCACAACAGUUAAUAUAAUACUCAUCAUAGAAUUAUGUGAUUUAAAUUAGAAUUAUUCUUAUUUAUUUUUCAGUUAAGACAUUAGUGACAAUUUAUUAUUAUCUGCCAAAAUUUUAGUGUCAUUGAUCACAAAUCAGAAAUAAUGCCAGUUUUAAAAGUUAAUAAGUAAAAGAUGGAGAAAAAUGACAAAGAAAAGAGUGAAGGAGAAGAUUCUUCAACAAAACAGGUGUUAGAAUAUUAUCAAAAAUACUCCCAAAGUAAACAACUGCCAAAAUACUUCUCUGGAACUUCCAUUUCAUAUUUACCUCAAAUUGUAGAUGAUGAACCCUCUGCAAGAAAACGAGAUAUAAUAUAUCCGACAAGAGAUGUUACUACCAUCCCUCCAAAGCAAUAUGAGAAACCCGAGCCAAAUCCUGAAAUGCUGUCUCCCACUGAAUCUGUAGCCUCAAAUAAAAAGUUAGAAUGGGAUAAUUUGGGUGAUAUCGGCUACAAUAAUGCUAAAAGACUUCACAAAACUGCUUCAUUACCAAUAUUAACACAACAUCCAAUCAUUAAAAUUGAUGACAUACCUAAAAGUCCAACGGAUAAUGUGAAAAUAGUUAUUUAUCCAUAUACAAGCAGUUCCGAAGACAAAACUAGCGAAAAAAAUACCGUACAGUCCUCAUCAUCAUCUCCUUUUAUGGAAAAGGAAAUACCAUCCUCAUCGGGUACAACUUCUUUUCAUUCUAGUGAAAAACAAAAAUUGCUAAGCUCAGAUUCAGAUUCUUCUCUAAACAAUAGCAAAAUUUUAGAGUUUAAAAAAAGUUUGAACUAUAUAAAGAAGAAAAUUGGACUUCCAGAUGCCCACUCUACACCUCAUGAAACUGGCUCUCCCAAUAUCGAGUGCCAAGUAAUAAAUGAAACCCCCUUAGUCAAAAAAACUGAUAAACCCAUUAAAAAUAUUUUGAGAGAUAUUCAGAUUGAGAAUGAAAACGUAAAAAGUAACAUGUUAAUGAAACCUACAAACAGUGGAAUAACUUUUCCAGCUAAUUCCAAUAAGAAAAAUGUAAAUUUGUGCCUUACGAAACCUAUCUUAGUAGAUUGCUUGCCAAAAACAAAUAAGAAGCAAUACGCAGUUGGCGUUCAAACUGGGAGUAGUGUGGUUGACUGUAAGUCUCCUCCAGAACCAAUUGAGUUAAUUACUUUCUAUAAAGAGCCUGACAAUAAUAAAACUAGUGAUUCUGGAAAAUCAAGUAGCUCCAAUGGUGUUGCAUCUAAAUGCGAUAGUUUUGAAUAUGUCAAAAGUAGUAAUAAUGGACAAAAUAUUUCUAUGAGAUCUGAAAGUAAUCCUAUCGAAAUUGCAGAAGGUCAUAUAACUGACAACAAUAAAGAAAAUUCUAAUAAUUCUGAAAACUCUGAAGCUGCAACAAAUAAUCAAGAAUUGGAAACUCACUGUACAAAAUCUGAUGACAUAGAAAAGCACAUAUAUGUUUUACAAAGAUUAAUAAGGUCAAAGAAAUAUGAUUCCUCAGCCAAAAGAAAAUAUAUCAGAAAAAUUUUACAAAAAAUAACCGAAUCUAAAUACCUAGAAGACUCAAGUACAAGUUCUGAUCUGUUUUAUCCUAAAACAGACCCUUCGAAAAUUCUUCAUGAUCAAAUUAAAAAUUCUUCAUUUAAAAAUGAAAAUACAUCAUCCUCUUACCAAUCUCAUGAAGACAAAAAAGUAUCUCCCAAAAAGAAAGCAUCUGAAAGCACAGACUCUGAUAUAUCUCAUGAAAGAGAACAAAAAAUAGAAAUUAAACCUUCAACUUCUAAAUCGGCUACAUUUGGUUACAGAAAAGAAAGUAAACUAGCACCAAAGAAGAAAUUAGAUAGUACCAAUCUUCUUAGUAAACCUUCUAUCCAAUCUGAAGUACCUGUGAGUAAAAGAACAAAAAGAACUCCAUUUACAGUUACUAGAGAACCUAACGACACUGAUAAAUCUUCAUCUCCACAGUCACAUCAAAACUGGAAAGAGUGUAAAACCGUAUCAGAGAAAAUGUUCGAAAACAGUAGACAAGUCAUUGGAGCUGGUGAUCAAGUAACACAAUUUGCUGAUAAAGAAAGACAGUACCAGCUUAACUGGAUAGAUAGAGAAAUUAAUCAUUUGGGGAAACUAAAGAGCAUUUUAGAAAAACACAAAGAACCUUAUCCUCUACCAGAAAAUUUAAAGAAAAUGACACAUGUUUACAUGGUCACAGCUGAUAAUAACGAUGCUGUUCAUAGAAACUAUGUUAUAGAAACUAAACUCGGAACUGGAACUUCUCGGCAAAGAAAUUUUAGAAUCAAUGGAGAAAACUAUAUUGUUGAAGAUCCAAAUGUUCAUAGUCAAGAUAAUAACCAAGCGCCUCCUUUAGUUGCAGAUAUCCAAGUCUUAGCUACAGAUAAAACCACAAAUAUUAAAGUUACUGCAUUCUGUAGUGUUUGCAAGAGAUCGCCAUGUGUUUGUGUUACAGACUUCUUACAAGGAAUAAGUAACCCAUUUAAAGUCAGUGAUAAUAAAGUACAAAAACAUUUAAACGACAAAGCCAAAUCUUAUUCGAGCACUUGUUCUUGUAAUACUACUGCUAGUUCCACAGCUACCAGCAGAGAUUCUUCACACACUAUAUGUAUUCAUUGCCAUAGAGCACCCUGUACAUGCUGUUCUUGCAAAAAAACUCAUGACGUAAAAACAUGCUCAGUUUGUCAGCUGUAUUCCUGUAUGUGUGUCAUAAGUCCAAAAGAUUCAUAUGUGGGAACAUUCAUACCAACUAAGAAAUCAUCAGAAGGAUCUCAGAAGAAAGUCUGCAGUUUGUGUAAAGCUUUAUCUUGUAUGUGUAGCGUCGAAACAAAAUCAAGAAAAUGUUCUACAUGUACUACUUACCCCUGCAUAUGCAAAAAAAUUUCUACCAAAACGAAAAAAUCAGAAUGCAAGUGUAAAAGCACACCAUGUACCUGUUCAGGUCUUUCCUUUAAAUCAGCAAAAACCGUUUGCUCCAAAUGUGGAAUUUCAUCUUGUAUUUGUCCGUUAUCUUCCAGAACCACUAGUUCUACUACGAGUACAGUAGAUACAGACUUAUUAAGAAAAUUAUUUUCUGAUUGCAAAUGUGGAGCUUCUAGUUCGUGUAGUUGUGAGUUUGUAAAUAAAUUACUACAACAUUUUAACAAAAAAGAUGUUGAAGUUUACACUAGAGCACUUAGCAAUGAAUGUACUGAUGUUGGCACACAAAAUCUUGUACCUGUUGAUGAUAAAAGAGUUCAGGAUGUAUUGCUCACACAAGAAAAAUAUGUUCAACCAAAGUUUACAAAAACGGACUGUAGUUCGCAAACAGAUACGCUUAAGUCACAUUCUAAAGUUGUUUCAACAGAAGGAGCCGAAUGUAUCAAUGAAUUAGUCCAAGCAGGUAUUCGUGAUGAAAGCACAGGAACUAUUCACAGUGCAGCGACAACUACUGAAACUGUUGCACCAUUAGGUAGGACAAGUUCUUUAGAUUCAAGAAAGUCAUCUAUUGGAUCAGAUGCAAAUAGACAUAUUAGCAUUCAAUCUGAUGUAUGUUCAAAAGAAAAAGCAACAUAUUCUCAUGAUCUUCCUGAACGUGUUGACAAAUCUGUAGGUAAGACCACUGAUGAAUGUGGUACACAAUCAAUUAAAAUUUCAAGAAAGUCAUUUACUGAGUCAGAUACAAAUAAACACAUUAGCAUUCAAUCUGACGUAUGUUCAAAAGAAAAAGCAACAUAUUCUAAGGAUCCUCCUGAAACUGUCAGUAAGUCUGUUGGUAAAUCCACUGAGGAAUGUAGUACACAACAUGAACGAAAAAAAGGAUACUUCGCUAAGUUGACUGAAAGAGGAGUAAGUGGUUCAAACAAUAAUAUUGAAUCAGUUGAUAAAGAUAUUGAAGCAAGAGUCUCCCAAGUUUUAAAAGGAACUGAUACAUGUACUCCGCGAGAAACUGCUGAUAAAGGUGUAUGCCAUAAGCCAUCACUUGUCGAUCAAGAAACUGAUUAUAGUCCUAGAAUAGUAUCCGUUGAGCAAGGAACAUGUCCAAGAUCUGCUGAAAGCUCUGCAAGAGUAUCCAUCGACACAGGAACUUGUCACAGCCCUGUGGUUGAUAAAGAGUUUCAGACUACUGCUAAAACGCUUGUAGAUCAAGGCACUGGAGACCAAAAAGCAAGUGACCAAUGCCACAAAUCACUAAAUGCUCAACAUACCCCACCGAUGUUCUAUGAAACUGACGUGGGUGUGUCUACUGUAUCUGAAAAGCAUAGAAGAGGAGCAACCUCAACUGGUGGUUCUAAAAAAUCACGCUCACGGUCGUCAGAAAGUAAAGAAAUUGGAAAUAGCGGUUUUAAUACAAGUUCAGGUAAGAAAUCUAAGGUCCCCCAUUCUGAAAAAACUACAGUUACUUCUUCAGAAGCCGAAGUUGGUCCAAGCCUUAAGCACCAAAAAAUCAGCGAUGAUAUUAGUACAAGUACAAAUAAAUUAAAAGUCUCUAGUUAUGAACAAACUACAAUUGCAUCGUCAGAAGCCAAAGUAGGUCCAAGUACUACCCACAGAAGAUUAAGUGAUAAAAUUGGUACAGAUACAGUUAACUUAAAAGCCUCUAGUGGUGAACAAACCGUAUUGACAUCGCCAGAUGCCAAAGUUGGUCCAAAUGUUACCCUCAGAAAAACUAGUGAUGAUAUAAGUGCAAGUACAGAAAAAUUAAAAGCCUCUAGUUGUGAACAAACUACAUUUACUUCGUCAGAUGCCAGAGUUGGUCCAGUUCUUACACAAGGUGGUGAUAUUUGUACAAGUACUGAUAAAUUCACAUCUUCAGACGCUAAAGUUGGUCCAAUUCGUGGACAAAGUGGUGAUAUUUGUACAAGUACUGAUAAUUUAAAAGUCUCUAGUUGUGAACAAACUAUAUUUGCAUCGUCAGAUGCUCAAGUUGGUCCAAGUCUUAGACGCAGUGAUGAUAUUUGUACAAGUACUGAUAAAUUACAAGUCUCUAGUUGUGAACAAACUAUAUUUGCAUCGUCAGAUGCUCAAGUUGGUCCAACUGUUAGACGUAGUGAUGAUAUUUGUACAAGUACUGAUAAAUUUUCAUCUUCAGACGCUAAAGUUGGUCCAAUUCGUGGACAAAGUGGUGAUAUGUGUACAAGUACUGAUAAUUUAAAAGUCUCUAGUUGUGAACAAGCUAUAUUUGCAUCGUCAGAUGCUCAAGUUGGUCCAAGUCUUAGACGCAGUGAUGAUAUUUGUACAAGUACUGAUAAAUUACAAGUCUCUAGUUGUGAACAAACUAUAUCUAUAUCAUCAGAAGCCAAAGUUGGUCCAAGUCUUAGACACAGUGAUGAUAUUUGUACAAGUACCGACAAAUUAAAAGUUUCUAGUCGUGAACAAACUACAAGAGUUAAGAGUAAAAAACGCAGAGAAAUUGAUAUUGACAGUUUAAAGAAAAACCUUAACUCCAGAGGUAUUCAGACGGAGUUACUCUCAAAUGAUAUUCGAUCAAUAGAUAGUUUCGCAUGCAUUUGUCCUUCUCAAAGUAGUAUUGAAAAGUCUCCGUGUUAUUGUUGCGGAGACAAAAGGAAGAAAAAAUCCAAACAUAUGUUGAUAUGUGCUCCUUCAGAGGACUCUCAUAAAAGUCGAAAAGUUAAAACUUAUUAUAUAAAAGAAGCAAGUUUAAAGAAGAGUGGCCGUCGAAGAUGCUACUCUUCGUGUGCAGAACGCGUUUGUUGUAGAACUAGAUCUAAAUCAGUUUUAAAAGAAUCCUGUUGCUCAUGUCAUUGUGAGAGCAAAAAGCCUAGGUGUUGUUGUCAAAAUGAAAAGCUUAACAAUUGUACCGAAGCAUGUAGUGCUGCUACCCCUCAAAAAACCCCCAUUUCGACUGACGAGCCAGAAAAAGAAUACGCAAGUUUAUUAAUUCAGUCAGUGUCAGUUAACAAUCCUCCUGUAGUAAAUUAUCCUCAUAUGGGAUAUUCAAACAUGAUACAGACUCACCCACCGAUUCAGUAUACACAAACUCAUCCGCACAUAGCACGUGUUGCUGCUGUGGGAACAAGGUGCCAUUGGAACAGAUAUCCUUAUUGCGGAGCAAUAACAAACAGUUUUCCGUUUGCGAGGUGUGCCUCAAGAAACGGCCCAUAUUAACGACUAUAUGUUUCGCUAAUCCAGAAGAUACCACCACCGAAUCUUCAACCCCUUCCAAAACUGUAACAGACCACUUUAGACGCGCUGAAAACUAUUGUACCUGUAAAAAAUCUGUGAAAACUAAGAAUUUUGAAUACUGCCAACAUUGUAGACAACAAUUGAAAAAAACUCAAAAAAAUCGGAACGGAAUAGCGUACACUUUGACGUUAGAAGAUGAAACACCUGAAAAGUUUAAAUCUAGGUCAAAGAAGAAAAUAAAAAAGCUUGAAGAAAUCAAAAUUAAAGUGCCGAAUCCUUUCAAUCGAAAGCAACACAAAAAUAGGGAAAAUAAUUAUAGGAAAGAUGAAGAUAA